AUUGAACGCUGGCGGCAGGCCUAACACAUGCAAGUCGAGCGGAUGAAGGGAGCUUGCUCCUGGAUUCAGCGGCGGACGGGUGAGUAAUGCCUAGGAAUCUGCCUGGUAGCGGGGGAUAACGUCCGGAAACGGGCGCUAAUACCGCAUACGUCCUGAGGGAGAAAGUGGGGGAUCUUCGGACCUCACGCUAUCAGAUGAGCCUAGGUCGGAUUAGCUAGUUGGUGGGGUAAAGGCCUACCAAGGCGACGAUCCGUAACUGGUCUGAGAGGAUGAUCAGUCACACUGGAACUGAGACACGGUCCAGACUCCUACGGGAGGCAGCAGUGGGGAAUAUUGGACAAUGGGCGAAAGCCUGAUCCAGCCAUGCCGCGUGUGUGAAGAAGGUCUGCGGAUUGUAAAGCACUUUAAGUUGGGAGGAAGGGCAGUAAGUUAAUACCUUGCUGUUUUGACGUUACCAACAGAAUAAGCACCGGCUAACUUCGG
Molecule: ribosomal RNA, 483 nt
Filed under: uncultured bacterium
Lineage: Bacteria
Description: partial 16S ribosomal RNA
Rfam family: Bacterial small subunit ribosomal RNA
Source: RNAcentral